ACUUGCUAAUGGCUUUAAAGGAGAGGAAGAUUUGUUUUUUUCUGCUUUAUGUCUUCAGGUAGAUUAGGUUUCAGAGUAUUUUCCCAAUUAUAGGAGAACCAGACUGGAGCGCUCUCUGGGUUCACAAUUUCUUUCCAUGGCUGUGUAUACGCUUCAUGCAUCCCUUCUCCUGACUCCCAACUUUGGGGACUCUGUGUCUCCUUCACCCUAACCCUGUAACCCUGUAAGCCUAGUGGGGCUGCCCAUGUUGUCACUCCACCACUCCUGCCAGGCUUUUCAUGGUCCUUUACUAGAUUAGGUAUGCAACUUUGGUUAUGGAUCACUUGAUAAACAUGGUAAGAUGCAGAUUCCCAGGCCAAACCACUAAAAAUUCUGAAUCAGUAUGGUAAACUUGGAGAGGAGCUGGAAUAUAUGCACAUGUAAUUCACAUCCAAGAUGGUCUUUGAGAAACACUUUGGGAAACAUGGUCCUAGGAUCUUGAAGCUAAUGGUGCAUGAGCCUAGAGCACCUAUGGCCACUAGGCCACUUUCUCAUUGCCUGGAGAAAGUCAGAGUUCAGGAAGACACAAGAAGGCAGCAUGCAGAGAGAAGCAGAGUGAAGAAGUAAAGGAAAAAAGAGAAUAGAAUUUGAGUUCCUAGACACAGUGGUCUGUGAGGACAGCUCCACCCCUUUUCUUCCUGAGGCUUUAGUUGUAUAAAUCAGAGUGUUCUUUAUUUCUUUCUAAAUCUUGAACUUCUGUGACUUAAGAGGGCUACUCCGUAGAUAUGGGGAAGUACUGGUAUACCGGCAGGUAUAACUGGUUUAUUUGCAACAUAAAUCUUUCCGAAAAUAUAAUCCAUAAUAUUCUGUAAGUAGACCAAGUAUACUUAAUAAUACCAAGUAUAUCAUCAAGUAUAUAUUAAGUAUAUAACUUAGUAAUACCAAGUAUAUCAAGCACAGUGGCUGGGUUAUGCUGCAGUAAGAACCACCCUCCAAAUCUCAGUGGCUUAACAUGAGUUUCUUUCUUUCUCCUUUCUCAUACUACAUACACUACGCAUAUAGGCCGGAGGAUUUCUGCUCCAUGAAGUCUCUCAGAGAUCCAGGCUGAUACAGAGUUCAUCUUAACAAGUGCUUUCGUAGUCACCACAGCAGUGGGAAAUGAACAUGGAAAUCAUUGAUCAUGGCUCUUAAAGUUUCUGUUCCAAAGUGACACAGCUUGUUCCAUGUGAAGCAACCUUUCUGCUCAGAUAUUCCCUGGCCUGCAAUAGAAGCUCCAGUUUGGGCUUUGGAAACUCAAGUCUCAGGUAUGAAUUCGAAAAUCUCUUUUGACAGAGUUCUUCAGGGAGGCUCUUACAAUUGUGUAGCAUUGGCAGCACACACAAGAAAAUGGACCAAUCUACCAACCACAGACCAGGUGCAACCAUGGAUACCAGGACCAUAAAGUGCCUUUGUCUUGGGGUCACUUCGAGAAAACAUUGUAGAUCCAGGGGCUCUGAGCUGAAGAGGAAAAACCAUCAUAGUGUUCUGUUCACGAGUGCCCUGAAUUCCAUCCACAGAGCUAUUGGAUGUUUGGAGCCCAGGUGAAGAUCCCAGAGCUGGGGAACGAAAGGUUGGAAAAGCCCAGCCAGCUGUGCAAGCCUCCAGAGACACUCUCUUGACUGCGAGGAAAGUGAUAGCCUGCUGGGCUGGACCUGGACUUUGAGACAGAACUUUCGAAUCCGAAGAAGAGAUGAUUUUCAGAUAGUCCUCCUUCCAGGUUCCGGGAAAGGCCAGGCGGGUGUCAGAGGUCUUUGUCAACCCGCUGAGUCAGCAGAGGCAGAAGGCAUUCUUCUUAAGUUCCCAGGGAGAGACUGGAGCUAAAGAUCCUGGGUGACGCCACGUUGCAGUGCCUGCCCCAGAGAGAACUGCAUGGACCAGGUUUUUAUUAUGUCGAUCAUGCUUCAAUAAGGUGGUUUUUUAAAAAAGUCUGCUGAAAGCUGGAAGCGGCCACUUCAACAUCACCCUCAGAAUGGAGCAUACUCAAGGGGAAGCCAAGCUGGAGUACAGAACAAGGAAAAGACUUGGUCUCAUCUGAAUCCAUGAACGCAGCUCUGUCUGAAAGUGAUUCUUCUGGAAUUUUCAAUGACUGGAGUCCGUAAAGUCCCUUCGUCUUAGUUUUUUGAUCAUUCAUAAUCACACACAAACACACACACACCCCACCCACACUCAUACAAACAUACACAAUGAGGUGUGGAUAAAAUGAAUAAUCUAUACUUGUACUGAAAAUAUAUUAGUACAUGCCUGGCAC
Molecule: long non-coding RNA, 2266 nt
Organism: Homo sapiens (human)
Lineage: Eukaryota; Metazoa; Chordata; Mammalia; Primates; Hominidae
Exons: 8
Source: RefSeq, a predicted model, not a curated record